CCCGCACCCGCGCCUCGCCUCUCCCCCCUUCCCUCCAAACCAUAGCCCCGCGCCGGCCGGCCGGCCGCCGCCGCCGUCGCCGCCCGCCCGGGCACCUAUCCACGACCUCGCGCUGCCCCUCUCCUCUUCCUCCUGCCUCACCUCUCUCUCCCCUCUCCAAACCCUAACCCUAGCCACCAGCCUUCGCUCCAUGCCGCGCCGUCGCAUAUUCUCCUCCUCCCCGCCCUCCCGGUCCUUAGCGGGAGGAGCGCGGCUUGCCGCCGCAACUGCUCCGCGUCGCUGCUCCCUCGUCGAGCUGGCACGUCCCCGUCACCUGGAGGAGCCGACGCUCCCUGCUGCGCCGUCGCAUGGCAGCUGCUCCGCGUCGCUGGUCCCCCAUCUAGCUCGUCUGUCCCCGUCGCCUGGAGGAGCGGAGGUUGCCGCUCCAGCAUCUUCUCGGCCCUCCUUCCCUCGUCGGCGAGCGGCUCAUGGCAACUCCGAAUUCGUGCUCUGUCGCCUCCAACUUUGGUCCCCGUCUCCACUUCAUUAGGGAGGCAGGUCUGAAUCCAAAUGUGGAACAGGGAAAGGUAAAAGCAGCUCAAUUGGUUGGUUCAAGCUACAGGUUGGCACCUACGCAGAAAGAGGUGAUGGAUUGAAAGGUCAAUCCACAAGAGCGAACUAAGAAGUGCAGGAACCACUCAGAAUAAUCAUCGAUACGGACAAUGACGGUGAAGGCCGUACUUCCUGGGCGAUUCUCAACGUAGAACCAGUUGACCUGACGGAAGAAGCCGACAGCGAGUCGGGCCUGCGGCUUUUGUGGUGGGGUGAGGAAGAGGAGGACGAGGAGUGAAACGCUGUCCAUUGAUGAUGUCGCCUUGCUGCUAGGAGAAGGCGAGAGGAGGAGGCAGGAGCCUGGACCAGAAGCACAGAAGGAUGAGGCUAUUCACGCGGUUGAAGUCGCUCAUCUACCUAUUGUUUAGUAUUUACUUGCAAUACACACAACCUGAUUUUCAACUCAAUCAAGAGUCGACCUAAUUAGUAGACGAACAAAAAAAACUACUCAUUGCGGCCAUAUGAUGAACCAAAAGGAAAAUUCUAUAUAUACAUAUAUUAUUUCAAGGAAAAUUCUGCUCACAGGAAAUACAUUAUUAGGACAUCAUAGAGGAUGUCACAUUUAUGUGUAGCAAGCCAUGCUUCCUAUUUGCUGUGGUUGUUUUUGGUGUUAUGUUUCGGGGUAUAUAUCUAGGACAAUGAAUCUGAAGUUGGGUAUUUAGAUGGGUUGCAGUUUGUUGAAGCUAAACAUCUAAGCACAUUAAAAUGGGACAUUCUUGCAAUUAUGUUGAUUUAUGGUGAGAUAACCUAGAGAAGUAUCGAUGUGUAUCUUCAGUUCAUAGUUGUCAUGUUUGUUACUACAAACCUGAAAGCUAUAAACUCAAGAUGUUCUUCUCACAUGAAAGUAUAGUCUCUCUUUUGAUUUAUUUAAUUCCCAUUUCUGGCAAAAACUAAAUAAUGUACUGAAUUGUAGUUUUGUAUUACUUAUAUAUUAUUUCAUCAAGCAGUGGUAUGCAUUGGCAUCCAGUGAUGUUUAUUUCUUUUGAAUGUUUGAUAGGUAAUUGCAGGAGUUGAUGAUAUGUAUCGUCCAGCACCGUUACUUGAGGUCGCCGCUGGAGCCGGACAAGGUAAUGGCUUACCUUACCCGGUGAGGUGCUGAGUAGGAAGAGCGCAAGACACCACCACCACCACCAGGUACUAGAGGGCGCCAUCGAGGAUGUCGCCGUACUGAUUGCCGAUAACCUAUAGGUCCAUCUCUUCUCUCUCUCUCUCUCUCUCUCUCUCUCUCUUUGUAGUUCUGGAUUAGGCUUACCUGAACUAAAUGUGACAAAAUAUCUUAAACAAGCUCUGUGAUUUCCUAUGCUCUCUUAUAUUAUCAAAGAAAAAAGAACUGCUCUUAUAUUUUAUUUGUUAGUUCCUUUAUACUCCAAAAGAAAAUAGAACUGACUAACAAAACUCUGUUGAUGAUGAAUAAUGCAGUGUAUAUAAUUCUGGGGCCCCUUUUCUUUCAUUUGUUGCUCAGUUAGCUUGUUGUUCUUACCUGCUGUUCUGAUUUUGUUUUCUGGGUGCUGUAUAGGAUACUAUGGUUAAAGAUUGCUCUGAUUUAUAUUGAUUUUGUUGAUUAUCAAAAUCAGUGGAUAUUAUCUAGGGUGCUUCUCCUUUGGAUUUGAUGUACUAUGUCUUUCCAGCUUAUACUAGAUGAUUUCUUUUCAUGGUUUUUGAUAAUUAUGGAUAUGUAUCUAAUAAUCUUAUUUUGGCGUCAACAAAUUACUCAUCUAGCAUUUCUUCUAUUACAGCUCUGUAUCUUUUUCUUUACAUGGUUACUGCACUAUUGAAGUAGUUGAUUCUGGACUCUUUCCAUUUUACCUUGCUUGGCUGACCAGAGCCCAAAAAUAACAUUUAGUUCUGGUUGUUUUGAUUGAGUAAGUGACACCUAACUGUCAUUGAUUUCUGGGAUUGUUCAUUAUCUUGAGCCGUGCCUGGUACUGAAUCUGAAUGUGUUUCCAUCUCUGGUACCAUGGCACGGGGUUGGCGGCGGCAUCUUGGUGAAGAAGAGGACGACAGUGGCUUAGGGAGGAAGAUGACAGUGGCUCUCAUUGAAUUUCUCAUUAUAAUAAAUUGAGGAGUGUUGAGAAGAAUCUAUUUGGGUUGCUCUCAUUGAAUUUCUCAUUAAGACAUGCACUCAGUUCUGGUUUAUCAAGUUAUGUAUAAUAUGUAUAUGUUGAUAUGCAUGGCAUCACUCAAAUGUGUGUAUUCCUGCUGUUGAAUUUUAGAAUCAGCACUCUGUUUUCUUUUCAAGCUUCUCUCGAAACCAUCUUUGAGAAAAAUUCUUUACUAAGUAAUGAUUUCUUCUUUUCUGUAGUAUUCCUCAAGUUUAUGAAUGAACUGAUAGAUGUCAUCUACUGCCUAUUAAGUAGGCUAUGCAAAAUAUGUUUUCAUGUAACUUGUACCCAUGCACCAGUGAUAAAGCUGAUAAUUUUCAUUUUAUCUCAGGGUUCCUCCGUCCAUUUAUCUCCUUUUAUGUUCAGUGGUGAAGAGGGUUAUAUUCCUAACUAUGUAGAGAUUAUUAAGGGUGUCAAGUUACUUCUCAUAAGUGAUCGGGACUAUGAGAUCAUUAAGGGGCAUUGAGCCGCUGCCCAGAGGUAUACUUUCUUUUAUUUCUUAUAUAUUUCAACCACUUAGUUUUGUUGUCUCUAAACCAUUUUCGAUGACUCAAGUUGAUCAUACUAUUGUGAGAAUCUUAGCCAGGAUCAUUCUUUAUAUCAUGUUGGAUCAUCUUAGAAUUCGUAGAGCCAGUUACCAUCGAAGGAUGUACUCAUAGAACACAAUCAGUGUAAUUGUUCUUUUCUACACUUCUGCCUAGAGCAAUGGGAUAUGUAUGAUGUAUUGUAUGGCUACCCUCUAAUGCACUACUCAGCCUCCUGUACAAAUGACUUGAUCUAAUUAUUAUGAAAGACGUGUGGAGUGUGUUGCUUUAUAUAUAAAUAAUUUGCUAUAA
Long non-coding RNA from Triticum aestivum (bread wheat), 3529 nucleotides. RefSeq lists it as uncharacterized. Lineage: Eukaryota; Viridiplantae; Streptophyta; Magnoliopsida; Poales; Poaceae. The transcript has 5 exons. The record is from RefSeq and is a predicted model, not a curated record.